RNAcentral lists this long non-coding RNA (770 nucleotides) under Canis lupus familiaris (dog). RNAcentral's name for it is "lncRNA (ENSCAFG00000056127.1, ENSCAFG00805001687.1)". Lineage: Eukaryota; Metazoa; Chordata; Mammalia; Carnivora; Canidae. The record is from RNAcentral.
GAUCUUAGUUACUCUUCACGAUAGCCCUUUAUGGAGGACAUAAUCUUCUCCAGUCUACAGAUGAAAAAUUCAAGCUCAAGGAGGCUAACUGACACACAAUAAUUUUGGGUUGGAAGCAGAGUUGAGAUUCAAGUACAGAUCUGCUUGCCUCUUAGUCAUAUGCUUUUCCUUGCCACACUUCUUUUUCAGUGUGUUCUACUGUGUAUUCUGGUAUCUGUUUAGCACAGUAACCAUCAGGUAUGUGCUAACCUGAAAUUCAGUAAUGGUGAGUGAAGUAAAACAAAGGUACAGUAAUAAGCCUUAAAAAUCUGCAAUUUGCUAAUUCUCUCAUUUCUUGUUGAAAUUCCAUUUGUUGAUCUAGGAAGAAUUUCCCAGAUUUUUUGAACCUACACUUGUCCUUCCACUGGAAUCCUGCUGUACUUCUUGAUCAGUAGAAAGACAGAAACAGGUGAGCUGGUGCUGGAGGUCAGUUGAGCAGAUGUUGGCAGCUGUUGAAGCUCUACUUGAUAACUUGCUGGGAAGAAGGAGCAGUGGAAAGAGCAGAACCUUUGGCCAAGGAAGGGGAUAUUUAUCUGGAUGGAAGACUCCAAAUGGUGACGAUUUUCUUCUCUCCCACCUUCCUUCCUCAACCCACACCAAGGAUUGAUUGUAGGUAAUAUUUUUUUCUAAAUGAUCUGAUACAAGUAACUUCAGAAAAAUAACAUUAUGCUUCUCUGGGUAAUAAAUUGGAUGUUGGGAUAAAUUGCGGGAAAAUUUCAUGAACAAUUUUA